This 468-nucleotide ribosomal RNA is filed under the name uncultured bacterium. Its description in RNAcentral is "partial 16S ribosomal RNA". It matches the Rfam family "Bacterial small subunit ribosomal RNA", at positions 28 to 507 of the family's 1533-position model. The record is from RNAcentral.
GACGAACGCUGGCGGCGUGCUUAACACAUGCAAGUCGAACGGAAAGGCCCUGCUUUUGUGGGGUGCUCGAGUGGCGAACGGGUGAGUAACACGUGAGUAACCUGCCCUUGACUUUGGGAUAACUUCAGGAAACUGGGGCUAAUACCGGAUAGGAGCUCCUGCUGCAUGGUGGUGGUUGGAAAGUUUCGGCGGUUGGGGAUGGACUCGCGGCUUAUCAGCUUGUUGGUGGGGUAGUUGCUUACCAAGGCUUUGACGGGUAGCCGGCCUGAGAGGGUGACCGGCCACAUUGGGACUGAGAUACGGACCAGACUCCUACGGGAGGCAGCAGUGGGGAGUAUUGCACAAUGGGCGGAAGCCUGAUGCAGCAACGCCGCGUGCGGGAUGACGGCCUUCGGGUUGUAAACCGCUUUCGCCUGUGACGAAGCGUGAGUGACGGUAAUGGGUAAAGAAGCACCGGCUAACUACGUG